UAAAGAUUCAUCGCUGAUAGAUAGGCAUGCGUUCCAUUAGGCAGUUGGCGGGGUAACGGCCCACCAAACCGACGAUGGAUAGGGGUUCUGAGAGGAAGGUCCCCCACAUUGGUACUGAGACACGGACCAAACUCCUACGGGAGGCAGCAGUGAGGAAUAUUGGUCAAUGGGCGUAAGCCUGAACCAGCCAAGUCGCGUGAGGGAUGAAGGUUCUAUGGAUCGUAAACCUCUUUUAUAAGGGAAUAAAGUGUGGGACGUGUCCUAUUUUGUAUGUACCUUAUGAAUAAGGAUCGGCUAACUCCGUGCCAGCAGCCGCGGUAAUACGGAGGAUCCGAGCGUUAUCCGGAUUUAUUGGGUUUAAAGGGUGCGUAGGCGGCCUUUUAAGUCAGCGGUGAAAGUCUGUGGCUCAACCAUAGAAUUGCCGUUGAAACUGGGGGGCUUGAGUAUGUUUGAGGCAGGCGGAAUGCGUGGUGUAGCGGUGAAAUGCUUAGAUAUCACGCAGAACCCCGAUUGCGAAGGCAGCCUGCCAAGCCAUGACUGACGCUGAUGCACGAAAGCGUGGGGAUCAAACAGGAUUAGAUACCCUGGUAGUCCACGCAGUAAACGAUGA
RNAcentral lists this ribosomal RNA (610 nucleotides) under uncultured bacterium. RNAcentral's name for it is "bacterial SSU rRNA". It matches the Rfam family "Bacterial small subunit ribosomal RNA", at positions 202 to 812 of the family's 1533-position model. The record is from RNAcentral.